This 279-nucleotide ribosomal RNA is filed under the name uncultured bacterium. Its description in RNAcentral is "partial 16S ribosomal RNA". It matches the Rfam family "Bacterial small subunit ribosomal RNA", at positions 506 to 784 of the family's 1533-position model. The record is from RNAcentral.
UGCCAGCAGCCGCGGUAAGACGGAGGGUGCUAGCGUUGUUCGGAAUCACUGGGCGUAAAGGGCGCGUAGGCGGCCUUGGCAGUCAGGCGUGAAAGCCCGGAGCUCAACUCCGGAAUUGCGCUUGAUACUCCAAGGCUGGAGGCCGAAAGAGGAGGGUGGAAUACCCAGUGUAGAGGUGAAAUUCGUAGAUAUUGGGUGGAACACCGGUGGCGAAAGCGGCUCUCUGGUUCGGACCUGACGCUGAGGCGCGAAAGCGUGGGGAGCAAACAGGAUUAGAUA